UACGUAGGGUGCAAGCGUUAAUCGGAAUUACUGGGCGUAAAGCGUGCGCAGGCGGUUUUGUAAGCCAGAUGUGAAAUCCCCGGGCUUACCACGGUGAAUGGCAUUUGGGACUGCAAGGCUCGAGUGCGGCAGAGGAGACUGGAAUUCCUGGUGUAGCAGUGAAAUGCGUAGAUAUCAGGAGGAAUACCGAUGGCGAAGGCAGGUCUCUGGGCUGACACUGACGCUCAUGCACGAAAGCGUGGGGAGCAAACGAGGAUUAGAGU
RNAcentral lists this ribosomal RNA (263 nucleotides) under uncultured bacterium. RNAcentral's name for it is "partial 16S ribosomal RNA". It matches the Rfam family "Bacterial small subunit ribosomal RNA", at positions 524 to 784 of the family's 1533-position model. The record is from RNAcentral.